RNAcentral lists this long non-coding RNA (889 nucleotides) under Calidris pugnax (ruff). RNAcentral's name for it is "lncRNA (ENSCPUG00000000444.1)". Lineage: Eukaryota; Metazoa; Chordata; Aves; Charadriiformes; Scolopacidae. The record is from RNAcentral.
AACGGCUUUCCUGUUGGGCGAACCCUUAACAAGGAAAUAACUGGCUCCAAACAUCCAGGGGCGGCGGGGAGUUCACAGCAGAGCCAGCUCUGAACUCCGCAGCUUGAGCUCCCGGGUACAAUGCAGCCGGCCCCUGCGCAUGGAGCUGCCGGUGGCGGAGCUGCGGGGAGCUGCCCUUAUUUAUUUGUUCCUACCGCACGGGCUGAGACACGGGCUGUGUUUUAUGUUCCUCUGCAGGAAGGUGAUAAAGUGCCUGAGAGCUGCCGAAAACCCUUCGCCAAUAAAUUCAAAGGGAAAGGCCAUUUCUCAUGCCUUGGAAGGGGAGCUGAGGGAUGCUGGAAGGCAGAGAAGACUGAAACGGCGCGUCGCAUGGCAGCGUGGCAGGAGGCACAGGAGCAAAUUUUCUGGAGAAGCACCUGGAUGCCAGAGGAGGCCAGAGAAAUGCUUUGUGUCUUCCGCUGCAACCGCAACCAGCUCCAAAAAUAAUCUGCUUUGGUGUCUGGUGGGAAUAUUUGGAGCAUCAGGGCUUGGUCUGCGGCUUCUCAUAGAAAUCAGCAGGAAUUUUGUCGCAUCCUUCUCUGGCCCAGCUCUGCUCCCGUGGCUGGCAGCCCCUGCUAAGGAAAAGCAGGGUUUGCUGCGGAAGCUCCUGUAUGUGGGUGCCCUGAAAUUCACCCACGUGCUGCAAGAUUUGAAAAACAUACUCCACAAACCAGUGUGCUGUUCAAGAAAUGGUGGUAUGGGCAAUUUUUCAAUCCUCCAGCGCAGUUUGGAGCAUGGGCUGCAGCGAAAGUUCCAGGCAGGUGAGGUGGCUGAGCUGGUGGAGAUCUCACAAGGUGCUGCUGGGCACUGCUGCCGCAGCCAACGCUGUGAGCAGCCGAUGACUCAGGUC